Molecule: long non-coding RNA, 3562 nt
Filed under: Sus scrofa (pig)
Lineage: Eukaryota; Metazoa; Chordata; Mammalia; Artiodactyla; Suidae
Description: lncRNA (ENSSSCG00000062716.1)
Source: RNAcentral
CUCUGUGCUGCUCUGCCCCACUGCAUGCACAGACUCUGAGCUCAGAAGGGCUCAGGCCCCAUUCCCAGGCGAGAUGGUUUUGUUGCCUUAUGUCCAGUGCAUUGAGAAACGUCUCAGGAGUUCCUAAGUGGGUUAAGGACCCACUUGGCUUAAUGCCCAGGAGUAGGGUGAUUAGAGCAUAUGUUUAGGUGUACUUUUAACUUUCUAAGAAACUGCCAAAUUGUUUUCAAAGCAAAUGUACUGUCUCACAUUCCCGUGUGCAGUGUCCCACUUUCUCUACAUCCUUGAUGGCACUUGAUGUGAUUAGUCUUUUUAGUUUUAAAUUUUUUAAGAUCAAUUUGUGUGUGUGUGUGUGUGUGUGUGUGUAUUUCACAAGUAUAAUUUUGGAAGGGCUGUUUGACAAAUUUAUGCAUUACUGCCAAAUCUGUAGACAUGCUCACCACCACCACUAACAAAAACACACAUUUGCUCUUGGCUUUUUUAAAACACGUAAGUAUGGGGAGUUCCUGUUGUGGCGCAGCGGAAAUGAAUCCGACUAGGAACCACGAGGUUGCAGGUUCAAUCGCUGGCCUCGCUCAGUGGGUUGAGGAUCUGGCGUUGCCCUGAGCUGUGAUGUAGGUCACAGACGCCGCUCAGAUCUGGUGUUGCUGUGGCUGUGGCGUAGGCCAGCAGCAACAGUUCCGAUUAGACCCCUAGCCUGGGAACCAUAUGCCGAGGGUGCAGCCCUAAAAAGACAAAAGACAAAAAAAAAAAAAAAAAAAACAAAAAAAAACAGGCAAGCGUCCCAUUGCAUCACACACAGAGAUGCGGUAACAGAUCUGAGAACAUAAUUAAACAGUUGAUCUUUCUUUCACAUGAUGUGUACUUGAUAACAUAAUAAAAAUAUAAUUAUUGGUUUACAUGAGUAUCAGUGAUUUGCAGAAUAAAACCCAUAGACCAUAGACCCACCAACUUUUAGGGGCAGAAACGAGUAAAAAGGUAUUAAAAAAUAGCAUUUUGACGUUCCUGGUGUGGCUCAGCAGUACAAACCUGACUAGUAUCCCUGAGGUUUCCAGUUUCAUCCCAGGCCCCAACUGGUAGGUUAAGGAUCUGGCAUUGCCGGCAGCUGUAGUUCCGAUUCAAACCCUGGCCUGGGAGGUUCCAUAUGCCACAGUGCGACCCUGAAAAAAGAAAAUUAAAAAUGGGUCUUAACCGUGGUAUCCUGGGAAGGAUCUGAAAAGAUUGGUAAUUCAUCGGUCCUAGGUAACAUUUAGUGAAUGCCAUGGGGGACUCAAGAAAUAAGCAGGGUGCUGGGCGGUGGGGGUGGGGCAAGAUAAGUGGGCAAGGAAAAUGAAAAAUGGAAGAGAAGUGUCUGAAUUUGGGCAAGUGUGAAAAGGCCACCACAGAAACUGCUUUAGUUGCCGCACAGACGUUCUAUACACGACCUGCUCCUGGACCACCGAACGCCCGGUGUGGAGGACGAUUUAAGUAGAGCUCACAUGUCAGCAUUGAGAAAACCUCACUUAUUUGCAUCGAGAAAAACAACUUGUCUGAUUUGUAAAAAGCGUCAUUAAGUAUUCAGAGGUAGAAGUUCCCGUCAUGGCAAGUCGGUAACUCUAAUUGUUUUAGUCAGAUGUGGCCUUUAAAUUUGAAAUGUUUCUCCUGAAGAAUUUUAAAAAAUAUUUUUGUUUGUCUUUUUAGGGCUGCACCUGUGGCAUACGGAGGUUCCCAGGCUAGGGGUCGAAUCAGAGCUGUAGCUGCUGGCCUACACCACAGCCACAGCAAUGCAGGAUCCAAGCCGAGUCUACGACCUACACCACAGCUCAUGGCAACACUGGAUCCUUAAUCCAUUAAGCAAGGCCAGGAAUCAAACCUGUAUCCUCAUGGAUACGAGUCAGAUUCAUUUCCGCUGAGCCAAGAUGGGAACUCCAUGAAGAUAUUCUAAAAUAAGAGAAACUUAUGUAUCUGACUAUGAUAAAAUAUUUAAAUAAGCCUAGAAAAAAAGAAAUAUUUCUCAAAACUGUCCUAUCAAAUAGGAGCUAUUAGACAUUAGCUAUGAAACAGGUACUUUAUUUCAGCCUUUAGCUAAUUUUCAUGAAAUAUUUGUUAUCUCCAACUUCAGUUUAUUCUUAAGUCAUUUAUAAUAAGACAAUGGGGACUUCCUGUCAUGGUUCAGAGGCUAAUGAAUCCGACUAGGAACCAUGAGGUUUCGGGUUUGAUCCCUGCCCUUGCUCAGUGGGUUAAGGAUCCGGCGUUGCCGUGAGCUGUGGUGUAGGUUGCAGACUCGGCUCGGAUCCUGCGUUGCUGUGGCUCUGGCGUAGGCCAGUGGCUUGCAGCUCCGAUUAGACCCCUAGCCUGGGAAUCUCCGUAUGCCGCAGGAGUGGCCGUAGACAAGGCAAAAGACAAAAUAAAUAAGACAAUGAUUACACGUGGCCAUGUCUCCAGAGUUCCUGCUGUGGUGCAGUGAGUUCAUGAUCUGGCUUGUGUCUGUGGCGUUUCUGGUUCAAUCCCCAGCACAGCACUGUGGGCUAAGGAUCCAGUGUUGCCACAGCUGUGGCAUAGAUUGCAGCAACAGCUCGGAUUCCACCCCUGGCCCAGGAACUUCCUUAUGCUGUGGGUGCAGCCGAAAAAGCAGACAAAAAAGUAAAAGCGAAACAAAGUGAAAAGCACCAGUGAGCUGCGGGACAACCUCCAGCAACUGAUACGUGUGUCAUCGCGUCCCAGAGGGUGAGUGUGCGCUCUGGCUAGAGACACUGCUCCUGGCCAGGCUUGAACUCAGGAUUAGUGGUGCCUCUAAUCCUUUUUGCCUGGUCUUUUCUUGGCCUGGUGAUGGCCUCACACACUCGCUGCUCCGUCCUAAGCUGCACUUCUUUCUGUCUCUGCGUCAGUGGUCUUCCGUGCAAACUGCAGCUGUCUUGGUCCCAGACCCUCAACUCAGGAGAGUCCUGAGCUCUCCCUGACCCUCCAUCUGCAUCCUGAAACCUCUCCAGACAACAAGCUGGAAAAGUCACAGAACUCAGUUCACUUCCUUUCUCUCAGCGGUCCUGGCUUCCAUCGCAUUGCGCCUGAUAUAUUUCGAACUGUUGUUUCAUGUAACAGCUAUAAUUUUUUGAAUUGUUUCAGAUGAAAGGAUAAUUCUAGUCCUUGUUAAGCAGUAACUAGAAAUCUCACACAGUCAGUUUUUAUUUUUUGUGUUUUUUCUUUUUUCAUCUUUUUAGGGCUGCGAUCAUGGCAUAUGGAGGUUCCCAGGCUAGGAAUCAAAUCGGAGCUAUAGCUCCUGGCCUACACCACAGCCACAGCAAGCCAAGAUCCAAGCCAUGUCUGAGACCUACACCACAGCCCAUGGCAAUGCGGAUCCUUAACCCACUGAGUGAGGCCAGGAAUACAACCCAUGUCUUUAAGCAGGAUCCGGCAUUGCCGUGAGCUGUGGUGUAGGUUGCAGAUGCGGCUUGGAUCUGGCAUUUCUGUGGCUCUGGCGUGGGCUGGCGGCCAUAGCUCUGAUUAGACCCCUAGCCGGGGAACCUCCAUGUGCCGCAGGUGUGGCUCUAGAAGACAAAAGACAAAAAAAAAAGAUCAACUUGUG